This is a long non-coding RNA of Saccostrea cuccullata (small rock oyster), 309 nucleotides long. RefSeq lists it as uncharacterized. Lineage: Eukaryota; Metazoa; Mollusca; Bivalvia; Ostreida; Ostreidae. The record is from RefSeq and is a predicted model, not a curated record. The transcript is spliced from 3 exons.
GGAAUUUUCAUUGGGGCACAUGUGAAAUCGAGGAAAGGUCCAAAAAUUGAAGGAAGAGUGAUCGAUAUGGUAGAUAGCAUACCGCUAUAUAAUUGCGACGCAAAAGUCAUCUGGGAAGGUAAACCUGCUAGAAGAUGCAGAGUUGGAAGAAAUGGAGAAGUGGACAUAAAGUUCAAAGUACCGGCAGAAGUACCAUACAUUGAAGACCAUUUACAAAAAAUCAGUGAAGACAGUGCAGUUGUAGGGCUAAGAGUUGUGAAAAAAACAAACGACGAGCGUUCAACAGUUGGCACAAUCAUUGCAAUAAAG